This 491-nucleotide ribosomal RNA is filed under the name uncultured bacterium. RNAcentral describes it as "partial 16S ribosomal RNA". It matches the Rfam family "Bacterial small subunit ribosomal RNA", at positions 29 to 506 of the family's 1533-position model. The record is from RNAcentral.
AGUGAACGCUGGCGGUAGGCCUAACACAUGCAAGUCGAACGGCAGCACAGUAAGAGCUUGCUCUUACGGGUGGCGAGUGGCGGACGGGGGAGGAAUACAUCGGAAUCUACUUUUUCGUGGGGGAUAACGUAGGGAAACUUACGCUAAUACCGCAUACGACCUACGGGUGAAAGCAGGGGAUCUUCGGACCUUGCGCGAUUGAAUGAGCCGAUGUCGGAUUAGCUAGUUGGCGGGGUAAAGGCCCACCAAGGCGACGAUCCGUAGCUGGUCUGAGAGGAUGAUCAGCCACACUGGAACUGAGACACGGUCCAGACUCCUACGGGAGGCAGCAGUGGGGAAUAUUGGACAAUGGGCGCAAGCCUGAUCCAGCCAUACCGCGUGGGUGAAGAAGGCCUUCGGGUUGUAAAGCCCUUUUGUUGGGAAAGAAAAGCAGCAGGUUAAUACCCCGCUGUUCUGACGGUACCCAAAGAAUAAGCACCGGCUAACUUCGU